RNAcentral lists this ribosomal RNA (497 nucleotides) under uncultured bacterium. RNAcentral describes it as "partial 16S ribosomal RNA". It matches the Rfam family "Bacterial small subunit ribosomal RNA", at positions 28 to 507 of the family's 1533-position model. The record is from RNAcentral.
GAUGAACGCUGGCGGCGUGCCUAAUACAUGCAAGUCGAGCGAACAGACGCUGAUCUUGCUCCUCUGACGUUAGCGGCGGACGGGUGUGUAACACGUGUAUAACCUACCUAUAAUACUGGUAUAACUUCGGGAAACCGGAUCUAAUCCCGUAUAAUAUAUUGAACCGCAUGGUUCAAUGGUGAAAUACGGUUUUUCUGUCUCUUAUAGAUGCAUCCGCGCCGCUUUAGCUAGUUGUUAAGGUAACGGCUUUCCAAGGCAACGAGGCGUAGACGACCUGAGGGAGUGGUCGGCCACACGAGAGGUGAGACACGGUCCAGGCGACUACGAGAGGCAGCAGUAGGGAACGUGACGCAACGGGCGAAAGCAUGACGGAGCAACGGGGCGCGAGAGACAACGGUCCUCGGAGCGUAAAGACGUGUUAUUGGGGAAGAACAAAUGUGUCAGGAGAUAAGCAGGGAUUGACGGUAACUAAUAAGAAAGCAACGGCUAACUACGUG